RNAcentral lists this ribosomal RNA (254 nucleotides) under uncultured bacterium. RNAcentral's name for it is "partial 16S ribosomal RNA". It matches the Rfam family "Bacterial small subunit ribosomal RNA", at positions 524 to 776 of the family's 1533-position model. The record is from RNAcentral.
GACAGAGGGUGCAAGCGUUGUUCGGAAUCAUUGGGCGUAAAGGGCGCGUAGGCGGUUUAGUAAGUCAGAUGUGAAAGCCCAGGGCUCAACCUUGGAAGUGCAUCUGAAACUACUGAACUAGAGUAUCGGAGAGGGUGGUGGAAUUCCCAGUGUAGAGGUGAAAUUCGUAGAUAUUGGGAGGAACACCGGUGGCGAAGGCGACCGCCUGGACGAAUACUGACGCUGAGGCGCGAGAGCGUGGGGGAGCAAACAGG